GAUGAACGCUGGCGGCGUGCUUAACACAUGCAAGUCGAACGGACUGAGGGAGCUUGCUCCCAAAGUUAGUGGCGGACGGGUGAGUAACGCGUGGGUAACCUGCCCUAUGCAGGGGGAUAACGUUUGGAAACGAACGCUAAUACCGCAUAACCUAGUUGGUUCGCAUGAACUGAUUAGCAAAGAUUUAUCGGCAUAGGAUGGACCCGCGUUGGAUUAGCUAGUUGGUGAGAUAAAAGCUCACCAAGGCGACGAUCCAUAGCCGGCCUGAGAGGGUGAACGGCCACACUGGGACUGAGACACGGCCCAGACUCCUACGGGAGGCAGCAGUGGGGAAUAUUGCACAAUGGGCGCAAGCCUGAUGCAGCGACGCCGCGUGAAGGAUGAAGGUUUUCGGAUCGUAAACUUCUAUCAGCAGGGAAGAAACCAAUGACGGUACCUGACUAAGAAGCCCCGGCUAACUACGUGCCAGCAGCCGCGGUAAUACGUAGGGGGCAAGCGUUAUCCGGAUUUACUGGGUGUAAAGGGUGCGUAGGUGGCAUGGCAAGUCANAUGUGAAAACUCGGGGCUCAACUUCGAGAUUGCAUCUGAAACUGCUAAGCUAGAGUGCAGGAGANGAAAGCGGAAUUCC
This 628-nucleotide ribosomal RNA is filed under the name uncultured prokaryote. Its description in RNAcentral is "bacterial SSU rRNA". It matches the Rfam family "Bacterial small subunit ribosomal RNA", at positions 28 to 670 of the family's 1533-position model. The record is from RNAcentral.